This 647-nucleotide small RNA is filed under the name Pan troglodytes (chimpanzee). RNAcentral's name for it is "processed transcript". The record is from RNAcentral. Lineage: Eukaryota; Metazoa; Chordata; Mammalia; Primates; Hominidae.
GACGGCUUCCCCACGGGAGGACGCGAGGCCCCGGCCCAGCCAUGGCCCCCUGGCGUAAAGCUGACAAGGAGCGGCACGGCGUGGCCAUAUACAACUUCCAAGGCAGCGGAGCCCCCCAGCUCUCCCUGCAGAUCGGCGAUGUGGUGCGAAUACAGGAGACGUGUGGAGACUGGUAUAGGGGAUACCUCAUAAAGCACAAAAUGUUACAGGGCGUUUUUCCUAAGUCAUUUAUCCACAUCAAGGAAGUGACAGUUGAGAAAAGAAGAAAUACUGAGAACAUCAUUCCUGCAGAAAUUCCUCUGGCACAAGAAGUGACAACGACACUUUGGGAAUGGGGAAGCAUCUGGAAACAACUCUAUGUGGCCAGCAAAAAGGAGCGUUUUCUCCAGGUGCAGUCCAUGAUGUACGAUCUGAUGGAGUGGAGGUCCCAGCUUCUCUCAGGAACCUUACCCAAGGAUGAGCUGAAGGAACUGAAGCAGAAAGUCACGUCCAAAAUUGACUAUGGCAACAAUUUUUGCUUUACAGAAUCCUUGAGCUUGAUUUGAUUGUCAGAGAUGAAGACGGAAAUAUCUUGGACCCUGAUAAUACCAGUGUCAUCAGCUUGUUCCAUGCACAUGAGGAAGCAACUGAUAAAAUCACAGAGCGUA